Long non-coding RNA from Trichoplusia ni (cabbage looper), 111 nucleotides. RefSeq lists it as uncharacterized. The record is from RefSeq and is a predicted model, not a curated record. Lineage: Eukaryota; Metazoa; Arthropoda; Insecta; Lepidoptera; Noctuidae. The transcript is spliced from 2 exons.
CCGACAUGACUGUUCUUUUAUAGGAGUGGUUAACAUUCGAGUUAUCAUCUCAUAGCCAUGUCUGUGGUGCGUGUUAUGACAAGAUAUCAAGAUGUCUUGCAUCGAAUUCCA